CAGCCCCGCGGUAAUACGUAGGGUGCGAGCGUUAAUCGGAUUUACUGGGCGUAAAGCGUGCGCAGGCGGCCCGUUAAGACAGGUGUGAAAUCCCUGGGCUCAACCUAGGAAUUGCGCUUGUGACUGGCGGGCUCGAGGACGGUAGAGGGGGGUGGAAUUCCUGGUGUAGCAGUGAAAUGCGUAGAGAUCAGGAGGAACACCGAUGGCGAAGGCAGCCCCCUGGGCCUGUACUGACGCUCAUGCACGAAAGCGUGGGGAGCAAACAGUAUUAGAUACCCUGGUAGUCCACGCCCUAAACGAUGGGUACUAGCCGUUUGGUGCGCGAGAGCGCUGAGUGGCGAAGCUAACGCGUGAAGUCCCCCGCCUGGGGAGUACGGCCGCAAGGUUGAAACUUAAAGGAAUUGGCGGG
Molecule: ribosomal RNA, 409 nt
Filed under: uncultured microorganism
Description: bacterial SSU rRNA
Rfam family: Bacterial small subunit ribosomal RNA
Source: RNAcentral